This is a long non-coding RNA of Oncorhynchus tshawytscha (Chinook salmon), 502 nucleotides long. The record is from Ensembl. NCBI's taxonomy places the organism in Eukaryota, Metazoa, Chordata, Actinopteri, Salmoniformes, Salmonidae.
AUAAUGGUGGUGGUGGUAGUAGUGGUAAUGAUGAUAAUGGUGGUGGUAGUAGUGGUAAUGAUGGUGGUGGUGGUGGUAGUAGUAGUGGUACUGAUGGCGGUGGUGGUGGUAGUAGUAGUGGUAAUGAUGAUGGUGGUGGUAGUAGUGGAAAUGAUGAUGGUGGUGGUAGUAGUAGUGGUAAUGAUGAUGAUGGUGGUAGUAGUAGUGGUAAUGAUGAUGAUGGUAGUAGAAGUGGUAAUGAUGAUGAUGGUGGUAGUAGUGGUAAUGAUGAUGGUGGUAGUAGUGGUAAUGAUGAUGGUGGUAGUAGUGGUAAUGAUGAUGGUGGUAGUAGUGGUAAUGAUGAUGGUGGUAGUAGUGGUAAUGAUGAUGGUGGUGGUAGUAGUGGUAAUGAUGAUGGUGGUGGUAGUAGUGGUAAUGAUGAUGGUGGUGGUAGUAGUGGUAAUGAUGAUGGUGGUGGUAGUGGUAAUGAUGAUGGUGGUAGUAGUAGUGGUAAUGAUGAUGU